Molecule: ribosomal RNA, 646 nt
Filed under: uncultured bacterium
Lineage: Bacteria
Description: bacterial SSU rRNA
Rfam family: Bacterial small subunit ribosomal RNA
Source: RNAcentral
ACAACAGUUGGAAACGACUGCUAAUACCGCAUAAGCGCACAGCUUCGCAUGAAGCAGUGUGAAAAACUCCGGUGGUACAAGAUGGACCCGCGUCUGAUUAGCUGGUUGGUGAGGUAACGGCCCACCAAGGCGACGAUCAGUAGCCGGCCUGAGAGGGUGAACGGCCACAUUGGGACUGAGACACGGCCCAAACUCCUACGGGAGGCAGCAGUGGGGAAUAUUGCACAAUGGGGGAAACCCUGAUGCAGCAACGCCGCGUGAGUGAAGAAGUAUUUCGGUAUGUAAAGCUCUAUCAGCAGGAAAGAAAAUGACGGUACCUGACUAAGAAGCCCCGGCUAACUACGUGCCAGCAGCCGCGGUAAUACGUAGGGGGCAAGCGUUAUCCGGAUUUACUGGGUGUAAAGGGAGCGUAGACGGUUUUGCAAGUCUGAAGUGAAAGCCCGGGGCUUAACCCCGGGACUGCUUUGGAAACUGUAGGACUAGAGUGCAGGAGAGGUAAGUGGAAUUCCUAGUGUAGCGGUGAAAUGCGUAGAUAUUAGGAGGAACACCAGUGGCGAAGGCGGCUUACUGGACUGUAACUGACGUUGAGGCUCGAAAGCGUGGGGAGCAAACAGGAUUAGAUACCCUGGUAGUCCACGCCGUAAAC